Pan troglodytes (chimpanzee) is the source of this 1889-nucleotide RNA transcript. It is a transcript of the gene named Inactive glutathione hydrolase 2, with no coding region annotated. The transcript has 13 exons. The record is from RefSeq and is a predicted model, not a curated record. Lineage: Eukaryota; Metazoa; Chordata; Mammalia; Primates; Hominidae.
AGCUGUUUCCACCAAAUCCUCCUGUCUUUCGUGGCCAACACCCCAGGCAAGGCUUGGGGCCCCUGUCUGCUGCUGGACGCAGAGCCAUGAAGAAGAAGUUAGUGGUGCUGGGCCUGCUGGCCGUGGUCCUCGUGCUGGUCAUUGUCGGCCUCUGUCUCUGGCUGCCCUCAGCCUCCAAGGAACCUGACAACCAUGUGUACACCAGGGCUGCCGUGGGCGCGGAUGCCAAGCAGUGCUCGGAGAUUGGGAGGGACGCACUGCGGGACGGUGGCUCUGCGGUGGAUGCAGCCAUUGCAGCCCUGUUGUGUGUGGGGCUCAUGAAUGCCCACAGCAUGGGCAUCGGGGGUGGCCUCUUCCUCACCAUCUACAACAGGACCACUCAUGAGUCUGAGGUCAUCAACGCCCGCGAGGUGGCCCCCAGGCUGGCCUUUGCCAGCAUGUUCAACAGCUCGGAGCAGUCCCAGAAGGGAGGGCUGUCGGUGGCGGUGCCUGGGGAGAUCCGAGGCUAUGAGCUGGCACAUCAGUGGCAUGGGCAGCUGCCCUGGGCUCGCCUCUUCCAGCCCAGCAUCCAGCUGGCCCGCCAGGGCUUCCCUGUGGGCAAGGGCUUGGCGGCAGCCCUGGAAAACAAGCGGACCGUCAUCGAGCAGCAGCCUGUCUUGUGUGAGGUGUUCUGCCGGGAUAGAAAGGUGCUUCGGGAGGGGGAGAGACUGACCCUGCCGCGGCUGGCUGACACCUACGAGAUGCUGGCCAUCGAGGGCGCCCAGGCCUUCUACAACGGCAGCCUCAUGGCCCAGAUUGUGAAGGACAUCCAGGCGGCUGGGGGCAUUGUGACAGCUGAGGACCUGAACAACUACCGUGCUGAGCUGAUCGAGCACCCGCUGAACAUCAGCCUGGGAGACGCGGUGCUGUACAUGCCCAGUGCGCCGCUCAGCGGGCCCGUGCUGGCCCUCAUCCUCAACAUCCUCAAAGGGUACAACUUCUCCCAGGAGAGCGUGGAGACCCCCAAGCAGAAGGGCCUGACGUACCACCACAUCGUAGAGGCCUUUCCGGUUUGCCUACGCCAAGAGGACCCUGCUUGGGGACCCCAAGUUUGUGGAUGUGACUGGGGUGGUCCGCAACAUGACCUCCGAGUUCUUCGCUGCCCAGCUCCGGGCCCAGAUCUCUGACCAUACCACUCACCCGAUCUCCUACUACAAGCCCGAGUUCUACACGCCGGAUGACGGGGGCACUGCUCACCUGUCUGUCGUCGCAGAGGACGGCAGUGCUGUGUCGGCCACCAGCACCAUCAACCUCUACUUUGGCUCCAAGGUCUGCUCCCCGGUCAGUGGGAUCCUGUUCAAUAAUGAAUGGACGACUUCAGCUCUCCCAGCAUCACCAAUGAGUUUGGGGUGCCCCCCUCACCUGCCAAUUUCAUCCAGCCAGGGAAGCAGCCGCUCUCAUCCAUGUGCCCGACGAUCAUGGUGGGCCAGGACGGCCAGGUCCGGUUGGUGGUGGGAGCUGCUGGGGGCACGCAGAUCACCACAGACACUGCACUGGCCAUCAUCUACAACCUCUGGUUCGGCUAUGACGUGAAGAAGGCCGUGGAGGAGCCCCGGCUGCACAACAAGCUUCUGCCCAACGUCACGACAGUGGAGAGAAACAUUGACCAGGCAGUGACUGCAGCCCUGGAGACCCGGCACCAUCACACCCAGAUCGCGUCCACCUUCAUCGCUGUGGUGCAAGCCAUCGUCCGCAUGGCUGGUGGCUGGGCAGCUGCCUCGGACUCCAGGAAAGGCGGGGAACCUGCUGGCUACUGAUUGCUCCAGGCAGACAAGGCUGACAAGCAAUCCAGGGACAAGAUACUCACCAGGAUGAGGAAGAGGACUUUGGGGGACGGGCUUCCCCUGUGA